This is a long non-coding RNA of Quercus lobata, 640 nucleotides long. RefSeq lists it as uncharacterized. The record is from RefSeq and is a predicted model, not a curated record. The transcript has 3 exons. Lineage: Eukaryota; Viridiplantae; Streptophyta; Magnoliopsida; Fagales; Fagaceae.
AAACUCAGUUGUGUGGAAAUACACCUUUGACAAGCUUUAGUGUUGCUUUUGCUUUAAAAUGGAGCAGCAGAAAGAGCAGCAAGAUGCAAGUGACAAGCACCAACCACAGUCAUCAGAAAGUAAAGUUACAGAAAAUAAAGGGGAGCCGAAGCAGAGUGUUAGCCUUGGCCACGAACAUGAGAGAACUUUGACUGAGAAAUGCCUCGAUAUUCUAUGCUGUCGCUGUUUCUGUAAAGAACCUUUCAUUCCAAAAUAAGAAGUCGCAAAAGAUGGAUCAAUGCUGAUUACUUCAGGGAUGCGAAAACUGGCUUCUUUCGACUGAAAGGUUCACAAGGCGUGGAUGACCACCAUAUCUAGUGUGCUAUACUAGUAUUUUAUUGUUUCAGAUUUUUUACUAUGCAAGAGUGGAUCUAUAAUUUAGUAAGUAAUUUCGUGAGACAUUUAUCUGUUUCUCUGGAUCUCAAAAUUCUGUUCUUGAUGCUCAUCAUUCAUCAAGAUUAUAAUCCUCAAGAAAAUAACAUAAUGUAACAGAACUUUAUAUUUUCAUAUCUACGCCAAGGGUAGUGUUUUUACAUUUUUAUUGUUGCUAGAAAGUGUUGUAGUUGAUAUCUCUAGCCAUAAUGGGUCCAUUUUCAGAGAC